Molecule: long non-coding RNA, 893 nt
Organism: Cyprinus carpio carpio
Lineage: Eukaryota; Metazoa; Chordata; Actinopteri; Cypriniformes; Cyprinidae
Source: Ensembl
CUAGUUCUAGACUACAGAGUCUCAGAUUAAGGUAAUCAAGGACCAGUGAGAUCAUCUUUUGGAAACCCGAUUAGAUUAAUGGCAUGCACAUGUGGCUAAGGAGAGGUUGCUAUAAAAACCUGGUAUGGAAUACUUGUAAUUCAUUAGUCUUAAGGAGUGUGUGGAACAGGAGUCACUACAGUUAACCAAAAAAUGGAUAAAGGCAGAAGAAAACACUCAAAAAACUUCAGUGAAUUUGAGGAGACCCUUUUUAAACAAAUUGUAUCAAACUAUCCUGUAAUUGAAAACAAACAGCAUGAUUCAGGUACAGAAAACAAGAAGAAGAAGGCAUGGAUUUCCAUAUUGAAUGAAUUCAACUCAAAUGAAAAAGUAACCAAACGGACACUCCAACAAGUUCAGGUCCUGUGGAAAAACAUAAAAAUAAACCUGAAAAAACAACUGCUGCUAUGCGUCAAGAGCGUUUCAAGACAGGUGGGGGACUCCCAGUUACACCAGACACAGAGGAGUUGGGGGACUUGUUGGCUGGGAUUAUUGAAAGUCAGCAACCCCUGGAAGGUAUUCCAGAUGAUGACCAUUUGGACAGUUCAGAUGACCUGAUCUUGACACAGGACUUGGGGGGCGCAGGGAACAGUCAAGAUGCUCAAAUGAAUCCAGCAGCAGCCAGCACCAACUUGCAGCAGCAUCCAGUCUCCUGCAGUAGCAUUAGUCAGCAUCCAGCAGUCUCUAAUCCAGGCAGCAGGUCAAGAGGGAAAAGGAUGACCAUUCAUGAGAAACUUGCCAUAGAGUUCCAUGAACAUAAAUUACAAUAUUUAAAAGAAGAACGAAGUCAAAAUUAAAAUUCUUCAUCUUGAGCUGUCUAUGAAAGAGAGAGACAUGAAGCAGCAGCAGUGUCA